This 2523-nucleotide long non-coding RNA is filed under the name Triticum aestivum (bread wheat). Its description in RNAcentral is "long non-coding RNA (TAES_LNC013176)". The stretch from base 693 to 877 matches the Rfam family "Small nucleolar RNA Z112". The record is from RNAcentral. Lineage: Eukaryota; Viridiplantae; Streptophyta; Magnoliopsida; Poales; Poaceae.
UCCCGCAACACGACCCCGGCGCACGCACGAAGAUCUCUCUUCGUCUUGCACGGCCUCGAAGGGAAACCUAGAUCUAUUUCUGCCCCUAUAUAUACUGGCCAGAACGAGAGCAAACGUCAAAUCCCAGCCCUGAAACCCUAGCCGCAAUCUGCCUCGACUUCUUUCCCAACCUUUAUCCAUGGUAUACUUCCGUUUAUCCAUCUUCGUAUUUUCUUGGUGUAUGAUAGGGGGAUUGCUUGUGAUGAUUCAGGUCCGAGGAUCUUAGCGGAUUUCGGUGAGGCGGAUUCGUCCGCCGUUGAUCGAUUCAUGUUGUUACACACGCUGAAGCUUUCCCCCCGAUUCGGUUGCCGACUCCUUGCCUUCUCUGGUGAUUUCUUUUCGUUUAUCGAAGUAGGUUGGCUCGUGAUGGUUCAUCUCAAAAUAUCGGUGUGGCGGAUUCAUCCGCCGCUGAUCGAAUCAUGCUCUUACACACGAUGGAGGCCUUUUUAUUCCGAUGUUUCCGUCCUCGCUUUCUCUUUUCUUCUUGGUUUUCCUGAGAUGCGACGCGAUGAUGAUUCAUAUAGGUUUUUCGGCAGUGGUGGCAUCUGUCAUCGUGAGCUUUCAAACCAAAAACGACUUCUCUUUCCACUGAGCAUCGCCCUUUUUACAUUGUUCAUCCCUCGCACGUUUUCGUUCGUUUCUUGGAUUCAUCUCUCUCGGUGAAGAGCUCUCGACCAUAGGAAGUGCCGUAUGACACUGUAAAAAGCGGCUGUUUCUCUGCCGCUGCAAGUGCCCAUCCUCUUAUCAUAACCUCUGUGGUUUGGUCUGGGAUGGAAAUACCCGUUUGCACCAGCUUGAUUCAGCUGUGUGCGUGAUUUUAAACGGUUCUCUGAGGGAUUUCGGUUAUUACUUCUUUCUCUUAACCUAACCUUUUGGUGUUUUUUGUUGGGCCCGAUGCCACGUCUCCGGUAGCUGCAGCCUUGACCGGCGAUGCUACAUUGUGCCGAGAGAGAGUUCUUGGACUUUUCACAUUUGAUAGGAACCUGUGGCUGCAAAUCAGUUGGUACACAGAGCCGUUUUUUGUGAUUACAUUUUGCGCUUGCAUAACCAUAAUAUAGUACUAGUUGCUGUAGGUGUUUUGUAAUUGGUGUAAAUCAAUGGUGAUGAUGAUAAAACUUAGGCUUGUUUCUCAAAACAUUCGCAGUUGGUGCCUAAGAGCUUUCGCCCUGCCAGGCUUGAGAGCUAAUGCUGCUAAUUCCUUCCUUGGAUGUCUGAGCCAUGUUGAUUUCCUAUAUUUAAUCAUGUUUUUUGGUGGCUUCUGUAGGAUCUUGGUUUUAAUCUGGUAUAUGUUGUAGAGAACAAAUAAUUUGUUAUGUAUGUUUACUGAGAUAGAGGUGUGCAUAGUGCCGCAGAGAGAUAUGAAUGAAUGGUAGAACCAUGAAAUCCCAGCUGGCUGCAGGGUUUUAUACACAACGAAUGAACUAUUUUUACCCUCGUGGAUGUUAAGAUGAAUGAGGGCGGUGAAGAUUGAUAUUUGGUCUCGUUCGUCGUAACUGGCAUUUGUUUGCCUUGCCGACCAUACUGCUAUAUCACCACCCAUAUUCUGAGUCCUCUGAAUACAUGUUUUCCUUCUUUUUUGUUCUGAACCAUAUUCAUUUUGUUUGAUGUUUGGUGGAUGUCUUGUUUUUUUUUCUGUAAAACAUAUUAUGUUGUUUCAAUUUUUUUGUCUUCUUACCUAUGAUGAGUUGCGAACUGUAUUGCCUACAUUGUUUGAUCAAAACUUAUGAGAAGCUCAUGCAACAUCUGAGGAUGAAUAAGAAGACCAAAAAAAGUGUUGUCUUUUGAAAUGAAACAUCUUUUUUUUGUUUACUAUUUCAUUUUGUUCUUAUGAUGCUGGAUGAUGUGCAUAGUUCAAAUGAUCUAACUGUGAUUACUUGAACAAAUAGUCUUUGGCCCGAGCUGCUGGCAAUUACAGCAUCUACUUUUGCUCUGCUAUGUUGAUUACGAUCAUAACUGAAUUAACUUAUCCAAGCUACCUGACAAAAUUGACAUAGUAUCUGUAUUCUGCAGCACCUUCAGUUAGGCCCCCUGACUUUGAUCUGCAUGUCACCAAGGAAGGCAUUGUUACCGAACUUGCCCAAUUGAUCUGUGCUGCAGGGCGAUCUUGGCCUUGCACAUCUGGUUGAACACUUUGUUAUGAAGGGUUCUUUUAAGAGCUGUAGUUUUUGUUGUAAUACGAUAUAUGAAUUUUGUCUUUGUUUCAUAAUGCCUGUUUGGUUGGUUAGUAACAUUUGAUUUUCCUGCCUUAGUAUGGCUUGAACCAUAAAUCAUGUGACAAGGAGAUCCAAACUAGAAAUUCUUACACAGUACAAAAAACCUGUUUACCUAAACUAUCCGUAGUUUUGAUUGUUUUAGCCGACAGGAACAAAUUCGUACUUCAUGUCAUCUGCAAUAGCUCCAAAUCGAUUAUCAAGAGCAACUCCAGUGAGGCGACACAUUUUGUUUGCCUGUGUUUGUUUGUGUCGGCGAGGACAACAGUGGAGG